Molecule: ribosomal RNA, 399 nt
Filed under: uncultured Hypotrichia
Lineage: Eukaryota; Ciliophora; Spirotrichea
Description: partial small subunit ribosomal RNA
Rfam family: Eukaryotic small subunit ribosomal RNA
Source: RNAcentral
GCUUGUCUCAAAGAUUAAGCCAUGCAUGUCUAUGUAUAAACAAGUAUACUGUGAAACUGCGAAUGGCUCAUUAAAUCAGUUAUAGUUUAUUUGAUAGUACCUUACUACUUGGAUAACCGUGGUAAUUCUAGAGCUAAUACAUGCUAAAAAACCCGACUUCUGGAAGGGUUGUAUUUAUUAGAUAACAAAUCAAUAUUCCCCGUGUCUAUUGUGAUGACUCAUAGUAACUGAUCGAAUCGCAUGGUCCUUGACCGCGAUACAUCAUUCAAGUUUCUGCCCCAUCAGCUUUCGAUGGUAGUGUAUUGGACUACCAUGGCUUUAACGGGUAACGGAGGAUUAGGGUUCGAUUCCGGAGAGGGAGCCUGAGAAACGGCUACCACAUCUAAGGAAGGCAGCAGG